UUUCCGUAGGUGAACCUGCGGAAGGAUCAUUAACACGUAUCCACGUAUCAACCCCUCUGUGCAAACUACACCGUUAAUGGUUGGUCUUAGUCCUUCUUGGUUCGUAUGGAUCUCAAUGAUGGAGAGUUGUUAACUUCGGUUGACAACUCUGAGGUCUGAACUGUUGGGCGUUUGACGAUCAGCCGAUAUUUUCCCAUCGUUAGCCUUCUCAAUUUUAUUAACCCCUUUGUACUUAUUUGUACUGAACCAAUUCCUUCGAGUUCUCUUUCUUUUAGAGAGAUGAGCACGAAAGAUAUUACGAAACUAAAGAACAACUCUUAGCAACGGAUAUCUUGGUUCCC
Molecule: unclassified non-coding RNA, 341 nt
Filed under: soil metagenome
Description: partial contains small subunit ribosomal RNA, internal transcribed spacer 1, and 5.8S ribosomal RNA
Source: RNAcentral